Oncorhynchus mykiss (rainbow trout) is the source of this 1886-nucleotide non-coding RNA. NCBI's taxonomy places the organism in Eukaryota, Metazoa, Chordata, Actinopteri, Salmoniformes, Salmonidae. The record is from RefSeq and is a predicted model, not a curated record.
AGGUUUUAUAAAGAAGGGUAGGCUAUCCCAUAAUGCACUGCAAAUGUCUGUCAGCGGACAUUGAGCACCUCCUAAUGAACUUACUGGCUAACAGUCACAACAAAAACAGAACAGUGUAUUGCUAAUUAAGAACAUACUCUCAAUACGUCUUAGAAGGAGGAUACAAACAAGCCUAACAUAAUGAGUGGUCUACGCACUGUCCUGGUCUCUACUGGGUUUGUCGGUGUGGUAGGCAUUGGAUAUGGAAUGUGGUCAGUGAUUACACCAGGAGAGGAAAGGAAGAGGGAAAUGCUCAAGAAUCUACCCGAAGCUAACCCACUGAGAAUGGAGGAGACAAGGAAGAGGAACGCCCUCAUGAUGCAGGUGCUGAAGGAAGCUGCAGAGACCGAUGACAACAUUGCGAGAGGAUUGGGCCCUAUGAGAUCCCAGAAAUAGUCAUGCUCACAUGCUGGUCAUGUUCUCCUGCUCAGACAUCACAUGCAUCAUCCAAUGGUUGCGUGCCAUGUCAUUGACUGUGCCGUCAGGCACCAGAUUGCUACCACGUGGUUAGCUGAUACGUAAAAAAAAAACUAUCCAGAUCUGACAUGCGAUGUCUGAGCAGGGGAACCAGACCACUGUCUUCACAUUGAUUUGAAAGACGUGGGGAAGAGACCAUACUAUUACAGAUGACACACCAGUAAACCUGAGCUUCACCACUUCCUCUUAAGAGACAAGAUUAUAUUGGCUAAGUGUUUGCAUUUGUGUUGAGUAUGAAUGAGUGUAAGGGGCGUUAAGUACUUUGUUUCACUGAAUGAGAAAGUGCUGAAAAUAAGAGGCAAUGGUUCCCAAACUUCACGACUUGAACACAUGCUCUGUUACAUUGAAACAAAGCAUAUUUAUUACAAUAAUAGUGUUGUAUAUAAUUCAUUAAUCAUUUUUGCUCGCUGAACAUGCUUGUGAUGGUCACAACAAUGUAUGGCUAAUAAAAUGUAAACAAUCCUGCCUAGUUUUUUUAUAUUGAAUAUUUUCUGUUACAUUUUGUAAAACCAAUUCGAUUUCAUGGAUAGAGUAACGUUUUUAAAUUAUGUAGUUUACAUGAUCAUGAAUAUAAUUCUGUUGUCACUUGUCAGCGGACCAGUGUUGGACCCUUUUACCGGUUGCACCCAUUUCCGGCUUUAGAAAAUGACGUUCAUUUCAACUGAUGUCGAAGGUUGCGGUCAGAUUCAUGCACAACACAUGCAGUCGUAAUCGUCACACUUCAGUGGUCGUAACUGUGAUCGUGAUUACAUUUUUAACUGUCUGAUGUACGUUUUAAUAAGUGAUUAUAGUAAUUUGUCAAGUUAGCUGCUUGGUAGUUAUCACAUCUAGCCAAGCACAGCUAACGAGCUAGUUAGCAUAAAUCCAUUUUUUUUUUUGACAAUGUCAACACCAGAGCCAUUUCCCGUACCACCGGGCUCAGUAUCACCUGCAGCGGGUCAAAUGUUUGGGAGCUGCUGGAGUUGUCGGAUUCUUUCAGGUGGAGGUCUGCUGUUAGGAGCUGGAUAUGUCUUCCUAGCCGCCCGAAAAGUAAUGCGCCAAGGUGGAACAACCUCAAUGGGAACUGUCGCACAAGUCGCGUUUGCAGCAAGUUUGGCUGCUUGGGGAGUCGUGGUCAUCGCUGACCCUGUGGGGAAAUCACACAGGAAGGCUUGAAGAUGCUCUGACAGAUGGAAUUAUUUGAAGCUGCUGAAGUAUAAGCCAUGGUCAUAUCCAAGAUCACUUUGACAGAUAGUGAUCUUGGCAUAAUGGAUGAGAACAUGCCAAAGACUAUUCUCAUCAUCUGUCAGUGUGACCUGUCUAUAAUACAUUAAAUAAAUUGAGAACUUGUGCACUUGGAACUACCUUGUGCAAGUAAGAAUUUCAUUGGA